RNAcentral lists this ribosomal RNA (497 nucleotides) under uncultured bacterium. Its description in RNAcentral is "partial 16S ribosomal RNA". It matches the Rfam family "Bacterial small subunit ribosomal RNA", at positions 28 to 507 of the family's 1533-position model. The record is from RNAcentral.
GAUGAACGCUGGCGGCGUGCCUAAUACAUGCAAGUCGAACGAACAGACGAGGAGCUUGCUCCUCUGACGUUAGCGGCGGACGGGUGAGUAACACAGGGAUAAACUACCUAUAAGACUGGGAUAACUUCGUGAAACCGGAGCUAAUACCGGAUAAUAUAUUGAACCGCAUGGUUCCAUAGUGAAAGACGGUUUUGCGGUCACUUAUAGCUGACUCCGGGCCGCAUUAGUUAGUGGGUAAGGUAAAGGCUUACCAAGGCGACGAUGGGGAUCCGACCUGAGAGGGUGACCGGCCACACGGGAACUGAGACACGUCCCAGACUCCUACGGGAGGAAGCAGUAGGGAAUCUUGCGCAAUGGGGGAAAGCCUGAUGGAGCAACGCCGCGUGAGUGAUGAAGGUCUUCGGAUGUUAAAACGCUGUUAUUCGGAACGAACAAAUUUUUAAUUAACUAUGCACGUCUUGACGGUACCUUAACAGAAAGCCACGGCUAACUACGUG